CAACUUGGCUACCCUAAUUCAAACACAAUUUUAAGGCACAAAUGAGGCUUUUUGUUCUCUCCCAGAGUCUCAGAGAAGAAGAAGGAAAUGACUUUCUCUAUUCUAUUUGACUUGCUGAAUUAUUGCUAUUUUGGCCACAAAUGCUCUUCCCUAAUGUUGUCCCCUAACACUUAGUGUUUCACUUUCCAUCACCCACUGCAGAUGUGCCAGUUCUGAUACAUUUCCUAGUGGGAUUGCAGCAAUGGAAGGACAACUACAGGGAUGGCGGGAUGUGACAUACAGCCUAAUUAUUCUCUGGCCUGGUGAACAGUAUGGACUGCAGGAAGUGUGCAGCAAAAUAUACUUCUCCCACCUGUACCUGAGAUUACCUGUUUCUGAAAGCCCUCCCCAGCAUGGGUCAGCAUCUUUAGAAAAAAUCCUGACAACUCAAUAGGUAAAAAAGUGGCAGACCAUUUGUUUUGAUUUGCAUUUCCUUAAUUACUUGAGAGCAUGAAUGCCUGCCCUUCCCCCCUUCCCCAUGUUAUUGGCCAUUUGUCUUUCAGGAUUCCUCUUGAGCUGGAAGCACAGCAAUGUUCAAAGGUCUUGGCUAGACCUAAAAAGGAUGGAGCUAGUGGCCUGUCUGGUGUGAAAGGAUGAGAGGUCCCACUGGCUAGUAGGUGUGGAGAUACCUACAUAAAAAAUUACCAUGUUGUAGGAGAGUAUUUCUCAAAAUUGUCAUACAUCUGCCACUUAAAUAUUUUUCAUUAUAUUCAAGACACCUGUGCUAUUGUUUAUUUAAUAUUUUAAAAAUCAAGUAAUUGCUUUUUUUCUGCUUAAAUGCUUUCCUUUAAAAAUGAAACUUUAUUCACUACUGCAAAUGGAAAAUAAGUGUCAUUUACUAUAAAUAUAAGUAAACCAUAAAUAGAAUGAGAACAAAACAAUAUUA
Molecule: non-coding RNA, 925 nt
Organism: Sus scrofa (pig)
Lineage: Eukaryota; Metazoa; Chordata; Mammalia; Artiodactyla; Suidae
Source: RefSeq, a predicted model, not a curated record